CAAGUCGAGGGGCAGUCAUGAAUCAAGCUUGCUUGAUUUGAUGGCGACCGGCGCACGGGUGCGUAACACGUAUCCAAUCUACCCAUGGCUCUAGGGGAUAGCCUUUUCGAAAGAAAGAUUAAUACCUGAUGGUUUCAUGAGCCCGCUAUGGACUUAUGAAUAAAGAUUUAUCGGCGAUGGAUGAGGAUGCGUCCGAUUAGCUUGUUGGCGGGUAACGGCCCACCAAGGCGACGAUCGGUAGGGGCUCUGAGAGGAGGGAUCCCCCACAUUGGAACUGAGACACGGUCCAAACUCCUACGGGAGGCAGCAGUGAGGAAUAUUGGUCAAUGGGCGAGAGCCUGAACCAGCCAAGUAGCGUGAGGGAUGACUGCCCUAUGGGUUGUAAACCUCUUUUGUUUGGGAAUAAAGUGAGCCACGCGUGGCUUUUUGUAUGUACCUUACGAAUAAGCAUCGGCUAAUUCCGUGCC
RNAcentral lists this ribosomal RNA (467 nucleotides) under uncultured bacterium. Its description in RNAcentral is "bacterial SSU rRNA". It matches the Rfam family "Bacterial small subunit ribosomal RNA", at positions 58 to 509 of the family's 1533-position model. The record is from RNAcentral.